GAUGAACGCUGGCGGCGUGCCUAAUACAUGCAAGUCGAGCGAACAGAUGAGGAGCUUGCUCCUCUGACGUUAGCGGCGGACGGGUGAGUAACACGUGGAUAACCUACCUAUAAGACUGGGAUAACUUCGGGAAACCGGAGCUAAUACCGGAUAAUAUAUUGAACCGCAUGGUUCAAUAGUGAAAGACGGUUUUGCUGUCACUUAUAGAUGGAUCCGCGCCGCAUUAGCUAGUUGGUAAGGUAACGGCUUACCAAGGCGACGAUGCGUAGCCGACCUGAGAGGGUGAUCGGCCACACUGGAACUGAGACACGGUCCAGACUCCUACGGGAGGCAGCAGUAGGGAAUCUUCCGCAAUGGGCGAAAGCCUGACGGAGCAACGCCGCGUGAGUGAUGAAGGUCUUCGGAUCGUAAAACGCUGUUAUUAGGGAAGAACAAAUGUGUAAGUAACUAUGCACGUCUGGACGGUACCUAAUCAGAAAGCCACGGCUAACUACGU
This 496-nucleotide ribosomal RNA is filed under the name uncultured bacterium. RNAcentral describes it as "partial 16S ribosomal RNA". It matches the Rfam family "Bacterial small subunit ribosomal RNA", at positions 28 to 506 of the family's 1533-position model. The record is from RNAcentral.